This 418-nucleotide ribosomal RNA is filed under the name uncultured bacterium. Its description in RNAcentral is "bacterial SSU rRNA". It matches the Rfam family "Bacterial small subunit ribosomal RNA", at positions 58 to 483 of the family's 1533-position model. The record is from RNAcentral.
CAAGUCAUGGGGGUCCGCAAGGACAACCGGCGAACGGGUGCGUAACACGUAGCGACCUGCCUGAGUGCGGGGGAUAGCCGGCCCAACGGCCGGGUAAUACCGCAUACGCUUGUUUGAGGGCAUCCUUGGACAAGGAAACCUCCGGGGCACUCAGAGGGGCUCGCGGCCUAUCAGCUAGUUGGCGGGGUAAUGGCCCACCAAGGCGACGACGGGUAAGCUGGUCUGAGAGGAUGGCCAGCCACAUUGGGACUGAGAGACGGCCCAGACUCUCUACGGGAGGCAGCCAGUGGGGAAUCUUGCGCCAAUGGCCGAAAGGCUGACGCAGCGGCGCCGCGUGUGGGAGGAAGAUCUUCGGGGUGUAAACUCACUGUUGCCCGGGACGAAAUGAUGAGCAUUGGCUCUUUUGACGGGACCGGGU